RNAcentral lists this ribosomal RNA (301 nucleotides) under uncultured bacterium. Its description in RNAcentral is "partial 16S ribosomal RNA". It matches the Rfam family "Bacterial small subunit ribosomal RNA", at positions 509 to 807 of the family's 1533-position model. The record is from RNAcentral.
CAGCAGCCACGGUAACACGAAGGGGGCUAGCGUUGUUCGGAAUUACUGGGCGUAAAGCGCACGUAGGCGGAUCGAUCAGUCAGGGGUGAAAUCCCAGGGCUCAACCCUGGAACUGCCUUUGAUACUGUCGAUCUGGAGUAUGGAAGAGGUGAGUGGAAUUCCGAGUGUAGAGGUGAAAUUCGUAGAUAUUCGGAGGAACACCAGUGGCGAAGGCGGCUCACUGGCCCGAUACUGACGCUGAGGUGCGAAAGCGUGGGGAGCAAACAGGAUUAGAUACCCGGGUAGUCCCUGUCUCUUAUAC